This 191-nucleotide ribosomal RNA is filed under the name Virgibacillus necropolis. Its description in RNAcentral is "partial 16S ribosomal RNA". It matches the Rfam family "Bacterial small subunit ribosomal RNA", at positions 1333 to 1522 of the family's 1533-position model. Lineage: Bacteria; Bacillati; Bacillota; Bacilli; Caryophanales; Bacillaceae. The record is from RNAcentral.
CGCUAGUAAUCGCGGAUCAGCAUGCCGCGGUGAAUACGUUCCCGGGCCUUGUACGCACCGCCCGUCACACCACGAGAGUUGGCAACACCCGAAGUCGGUGAGGUAACCUUUAUGGAGCCAGCCGCCGAAGGUGGGGCCAAUGAUUGGGGUGAAGUCGUAACAAGGUAGCCGUAUCGGAAGGUGCGGCUGGA